Non-coding RNA from Stegodyphus mimosarum, 73 nucleotides. NCBI's taxonomy places the organism in Eukaryota, Metazoa, Arthropoda, Arachnida, Araneae, Eresidae. The record is from Rfam.
GCCUUCGUGGUGUAGUGGUCAGCACGCUCGACGCGUAACCGAGAGGCCCGUAGUUCGAUUCCUGGCGAGGAUA